AACGAACGCUGGCGGCGUGCCUAAUACAUGCAAGUUGAGCGCUGAAGGUUGGUACUUGUACCAACUGGAUGAGCAGCGAACGGGUGAGUAACGCGUGGGGAAUCUGCCUUUGAGCGGGGGACAACAUUUGGAAACGAAUGCUAAUACCGCAUAAAAACUUUAAACACAAGUUUUAAGUUUGAAAGAUGCAAUUGCAUCACUCAAAGAUGAUCCCGCGUUGUAUUAGCUAGUUGGUGAGGUAAAGGCUCACCAAGGCGAUGAUACAUAGCCGACCUGAGAGGGUGAUCGGCCACAUUGGGACUGAGACACGGCCCAAACUCCUACGGGAGGCAGCAGUAGGGAAUCUUCGGCGAUGGACGAAAGUCUGACCGAGCAACGCCGCGUGAGUGAAGAAGGUUUUCGGAUCGUAAAACUCUGUUGGUAGAGAAGAACGUUGGUGAGAGUGGAAAGCUCAUCAAGUGACGGUAACUACCCAGAAAGGGACGGCUAACUACGUG
RNAcentral lists this ribosomal RNA (497 nucleotides) under uncultured bacterium. RNAcentral describes it as "partial 16S ribosomal RNA". It matches the Rfam family "Bacterial small subunit ribosomal RNA", at positions 29 to 507 of the family's 1533-position model. The record is from RNAcentral.